Molecule: ribosomal RNA, 358 nt
Filed under: uncultured eukaryote
Lineage: Eukaryota
Description: SSU rRNA
Rfam family: Eukaryotic small subunit ribosomal RNA
Source: RNAcentral
UGAAACUGCGAAUGGCUCAUUAAAACAGUUAUAGUUUAUUUGAUACAUUAAAUGGAUAACUGUAGAAAAACUAGAGCUAAUACAUGCCAAACCGCAAGGUUGUAUUUAUUAGAUAUACCAGGUUGGUGAAUCAUAAUAACUUCGCAAAUCGCAGCUAUGCUGCGAUAAAUCAUUCAAGUUUCUGCCCUAUCAUGCUUUCGAUGGUAGUGUAUUGGACUACCAUGGCUCUCACGGGUAACGGGGAAUUAGGGUUCGAUUCCGGAGAAGGAGCCUGAGAAACGGCUACUACAUCUAAGGAAGGCAGCAGGCGCGUAAAUUACCCAAUCCUGACUCAGGGAGGUAGUGACAAGAUAUAACG